RNAcentral lists this non-coding RNA (49 nucleotides) under Salipiger bermudensis HTCC2601. RNAcentral describes it as "Pelagibaca bermudensis HTCC2601 Guanidine-II riboswitch aptamer (mini-ykkC)". It matches the Rfam family "Guanidine-II riboswitch aptamer (mini-ykkC)". Rfam says of the family: Simpler in structure and has fewer highly conserved nucleotide positions than the ykkC-yxkD leader. Despite this each of its two stem-loop structures directly bind free guanidine. RNAcentral also lists the same sequence under 1 other name. The record is from Rfam by way of RNAcentral. Lineage: Bacteria; Pseudomonadati; Pseudomonadota; Alphaproteobacteria; Rhodobacterales; Roseobacteraceae.
GUGUGAGGACGACCUCCCCCAGCUCGGGAUAUCAUUCGGGACGGCCCGG